This 436-nucleotide ribosomal RNA is filed under the name uncultured Clostridium sp. RNAcentral describes it as "partial 16S ribosomal RNA". It matches the Rfam family "Bacterial small subunit ribosomal RNA", at positions 341 to 792 of the family's 1533-position model. The record is from RNAcentral. Lineage: Bacteria; Bacillati; Bacillota; Clostridia; Eubacteriales; Clostridiaceae.
ACGGAAGGCAGCAGUGGGGAAUAUUGGGCAAUGGGGGAAACCCUGACCCAGCAACGCCGCGUGAAGGAAGAAGGCCCUCGGGUUGUAAACUUCUUUUACCAGGGACGAACAAAUGACGGUACCUGGAGAAAAAGCAACGGCUAACUACGUGCCAGCAGCCGCGGUAAUACGUAGGUUGCAAGCGUUGUCCGGAUUUACUGGGUGUAAAGGGCGUGUAGGCGGAGCUGCAAGUCAGAUGUGAAAUCCCGGGGCCCAACCCCGGAACUGCAUUUGAAACUGUAGCCCUUGAGUAUCGGAGAGGCAAGCGGAAUUCCUAGUGUAGCGGUGAAAUGCGUAGAUAUUAGGAGGAACACCAGUGGCGAAGGCGGCUUGCUGGACGACAACUGACGCUGAGGCGCGAAAGCGUGGGGAGCAAACAGGAUUAGAUACCCUGGUA